Long non-coding RNA from Manacus vitellinus (golden-collared manakin), 995 nucleotides. RefSeq lists it as uncharacterized. The transcript has 3 exons. Lineage: Eukaryota; Metazoa; Chordata; Aves; Passeriformes; Pipridae. The record is from RefSeq and is a predicted model, not a curated record.
ACCUCCCUAUUCUGAGCAGGACAGGAGCCACGCAGAGCCAGCUGGUUGUGGCUCCUCUCACCCAUCUGAAGAAGGUGAGCAAGGAUCCCUGAGGUAUCCAUUGCCAAGUCAUCGGGAGAGUGGCUUCGCCUCAGGACUGUUGCCGCACUGGGUCAAUAUUCUAGUCUUGUUGUGCUAGUGCUCCUUAGUUGACAUCCAUGAUCCUUCCCUGCUCCCACCCUGUGUAAACUCCUUACACCUGGAACACCAAGAAGUGAAAAUGCUGAGCCCUCAGAGCUGCUCCUGUUCAGGCAGGACAGGAGGGGGUGGCCAGACUGUGGGGUACUUGAGCCCCUUCCCCUCUGCUCCAAGGACAGCGCAGGGGAAAUGCCUGAAGAGCUCAGCACACAGCCAGAACAGCAGCUGGGUGUUUAGUUACUGGUUAGAAUAACUUUAGUCUUGCUCAGCUGCUCUUUGCUUCCCUCACCCAGGCAGUCUGAUACCCCUCCAUGAGCAGAGGCAGGUGCCCUGGUGCAGUGGAGUCUCUGCCUUCCCUGAGUUGGACAUGUCUGGUUGCUGCAGCUGGAUGCUCAAGAGCAGAGGAUCUAUCAACUGCAGACCAAGCAGAGGGAGAGGCAGGCAGAACUGGAGCAGAAAUGCAGCCGGACGAGCAGCUCAGCCAGGACCUGGGGGCCAGUCACCAGCUGCGGGAGGGAGCUCGGAGCAGCUUGUUCCAGAAGAUGGUGCAAUUUGGUGAUUGAUUCCUGGAGUCUGGCUGGUGCAUCUGCACUGGGGUAUAGAAGGCACAGACCCUGCCGUGAUGCCCAGAACACUCUGCCAGUGCCAGCCACACACAGCUCACAGCUCCAGAAGCAGAAGGGGAGCAUUCCAUCAAUGUGAGUGGAUAUUUUUCUCCCAUUAAAAUGUUUAAUUUAUUUUUGAAUGCACAUGAACUUUGAGGGCCCACCAUACCCUGUGUGAAGCAGUCUGACACAGCACAUGACAUUAAAAAAAGA